GCAAUCUACCUUUUGCAGAGGGAUAGCCCAGAGAAAUUUGGAUUAAUACCUCAUAGUAUGCAGAGUUGGCAUCAACACUGCAUUAAAGUCACAACGGUGAAAGAUGAGCAUGCGUCCCAUUAGCUUGUUGGUAAGGUAACGGCUUACCAAGGCAACGAUGGGUAGGGGUCCUGAGAGGGAGAUCC
This 185-nucleotide ribosomal RNA is filed under the name uncultured Bacteroidota bacterium. RNAcentral describes it as "uncultured Bacteroidetes bacterium partial 16S ribosomal RNA". It matches the Rfam family "Bacterial small subunit ribosomal RNA", at positions 121 to 306 of the family's 1533-position model. Lineage: Bacteria; Pseudomonadati; Bacteroidota. The record is from RNAcentral.